Molecule: long non-coding RNA, 272 nt
Filed under: Elaeis guineensis (African oil palm)
Lineage: Eukaryota; Viridiplantae; Streptophyta; Magnoliopsida; Arecales; Arecaceae
Description: long non-coding RNA (EGUI_LNC069789)
Source: RNAcentral
GCCCGCAUCUUUGAAUCCAAUCAUUUGAUUAGAAUAAACUAUAAAGACUGGCUAAGAAACUUCAGAAUUAUUUUGACUUCUGAAAAACUAGAUCAUGUACUCAACUAGGAACCCUUAGUAUUACCAAAACAUCCUACUGCUGAGCAAAGAGCUGCUUAUAAAAAGUGAACGGAUGAGGAUAGUCGGAUUAAGUGCUAUAUGCUGGCUUCUAUGUCAAAUGAGUUGCAAAGUUAGCAUGAGCAUAUGCCCACUGCCAGGGCUAUGAUAACUCA